GUGCUCGCUUUGGCAGCACAUAUACUAACAUUGAAAUGAUGUUGGUAAGAUUAACAUGGCCCCUGCUCAAGGAUGACAUGCAAAUUCCUGAAGUGUUUCAUAUUUUU
Molecule: small nuclear RNA, 107 nt
Filed under: Dasypus novemcinctus (nine-banded armadillo)
Lineage: Eukaryota; Metazoa; Chordata; Mammalia; Cingulata; Dasypodidae
Source: RNAcentral